This 870-nucleotide ribosomal RNA is filed under the name uncultured bacterium. Its description in RNAcentral is "bacterial SSU rRNA". It matches the Rfam family "Bacterial small subunit ribosomal RNA", at positions 8 to 854 of the family's 1533-position model. The record is from RNAcentral.
AGAGUUUGAUCCUGGCUCAGAACGAACGCUGGCGGCGUGCUUAACACAUGCAAGUCGAACGAGAAAGAUUUCUUCGGAAAUUGAGUAGAGUGGCGCACGGGUGAGUAACGCGUAGGUAAUCUACCUUUAUAUUUGGGAUAACAUUGGGAAACUGGUGCUAAUACCGGAUACCCUUCAUUUCUUCGGGGUUAUGGAGGAAAGGUGGCCUCUUCAUGAAAGCUACCGUAUAGGGAUGAGCCUGCGUACCAUUAGCUAGUAGGUGGGGUAAUGGCCCACCUAGGCGACGAUGGUUAGCGGGUCUGAGAGGAUGAUCCGCCACACUGGAACUGGAACACGGACCAGACUCCUACGGGAGGCAGCAGUGAGGAAUAUUGCGCAAUGGGGGCAACCCUGACGCAGCGACGCCGCGUGAGUGAGGAAGGUUUUCGGAUCGUAAAGCUCUGUCAGAAGGGAAGAAGUGUUACGUAGUUAAUACCUGCGUAAUUUGACGGUACCUUCAGAGGAAGCACCGGCUAACUCCGUGCCAGCAGCCGCGGUAAUACGGAGGGUGCAAGCGUUGUUCGGAAUUACUGGGCGUAAAGGGCGCGUAGGCGGCCGGAUAUGUCAGGUGUGAAAGUCCACGGCUCAACCGUGGAAGUGCAUUUGAAACUGUCCGGCUUGAGUAUCGGAGGGGAGUGUGGAAUUCCCGGGUAGAGGUGAAAUUCGUAGAGAUCGGGAGGAACACCGGUGGCGAAGGCGACACUCUGGACGAAUACUGACGCUGAGGCGCGAAAGCGUGGGGAGCAAACAGGAUUAGAUACCCUGGUAGUCCACGCCGUAAACGAUGUGAACUAGGGAUAGGGGGUGUUGAUCCCUCCUGUCCCGCAGCUA